AUACGUAGGGGGCAAGCGUUGUCCGGAAUGAUUGGGCGUAAAGGGCGCGUAGGCGGCCUGGUAAGUCUGGAGUGAAAGUCCUGCUUUUAAGGUGGGAAUUGCUUUGGAUACUGCUGGGCUUGAGUGCAGGAGAGGUAAGUGGAAUUCCCGGUGUAGCGGUGAAAUGCGUAGAGAUCGGGAGGAACACCAGUGGCGAAGGCGGCUCUCUGGACUGUAACUGACACUGAGGCACGAAAGCGUGGGGAGC
This 247-nucleotide ribosomal RNA is filed under the name uncultured bacterium. RNAcentral's name for it is "partial 16S ribosomal RNA". It matches the Rfam family "Bacterial small subunit ribosomal RNA", at positions 523 to 769 of the family's 1533-position model. The record is from RNAcentral.